Nicotiana tabacum (common tobacco) is the source of this 397-nucleotide non-coding RNA. Lineage: Eukaryota; Viridiplantae; Streptophyta; Magnoliopsida; Solanales; Solanaceae. The record is from RefSeq and is a predicted model, not a curated record.
AACUUUCUCUCAAUCUUCGUUUUUCUCCAUUAAAGCAACAUGUGUGAACUCUGAACUCUAUUUCACCAAAUUCCUACUCAGCUUUUCCUAAUCUCCUCUUUAUCAGAUAUUUUUUAUGGUAAAAGUUAUUGGGAGAAUUGCGUAAAGAAUUAGAAAUCUGGUCAACCAAACCAAACGAACAUUAAGAUCACGGAGUUGGAGCAGCCUUUGGACAGCAGCAGUAGAUCGGGAGCAGGCCUUCAGUCCAGAGACACCGAGGUAGCCUUGCUGACGUCCGCAUGCACAAAGUCUCUCUCUCUUUGUUUAGUUUGUUAUCUUUUGUACCGAAACAAACAGUUUAAAAUUUUCUUUCAGUGUAUUUAGUAAUCUUAGAAGUUCGUGAGAAUUGUGACACCAA